Molecule: ribosomal RNA, 774 nt
Filed under: uncultured Neocallimastigales
Lineage: Eukaryota; Fungi; Neocallimastigomycota; Neocallimastigomycetes; Neocallimastigales
Description: partial large subunit ribosomal RNA
Rfam family: Eukaryotic large subunit ribosomal RNA
Source: RNAcentral
UAUGUGAUCGUCUCUCGCAUAUCAAUAAGCGGAGGAAAAGAAACUAACAAGGAUUCCCCUAGUAACGGCGAGUGAAGCGGGAAGAGCUCAAAUUUGAAAUCUUAAAGGGUUUCCCUCUACGAAUUGUAGUUUAAAGAAGUGUUUUCUGUUGAGGUUUUGGUAAAAGUUCUUUGGAAUAGGACAUCAUAGAGGGUGAGAAUCCCGUAUUUGACCUUUACUUUCAACUUUGUGAUACACUUUCAAAGAGUCGGAUUGUUUGGGAAUGCAGUCCAAAAUGGGUGGUAAAUUUCAUCUAAGGCUAAAUAUUGGCGAGAGACCGAUAGCGAACAAGUACCGUGAGGGAAAGAUGAAAAGAACUUUGAAAAGAGAGUUAAACAGUACGUGAAAUUGUCAAAAGGGAAGCGUUUGACACCAGUGUUGUUUUUCUGAAAAUCAAUUAAAGAACUGUUUAUGCUAAGUUGUUUAGACUUUAUCAGCUAUCUGUUUAGUUUUGAGCUUUUCUUUAAUGCACUUUUCAGUUAACAAGUCAACAUCAAUUUCUUUUGCUGUAAAAAAGCUUGAGGAAGGUGGCUUGAGAUUCGUCUUAAGUGUUUAUAGCCUCUUGCCUAUGCAGUCGGAGAGAUUGAGGUCUGCAGCGUAGAUCCUUCGGGGCUAAAUGCAUUUGUGCUAAGUUAUAGCAUUUUAUAGACAACUUGUUGACUAUGAUUUGUCUUGUAGCUUACUCGCUUAUGUUAUUUUACCUACGCUUAGGAUGUUGAUAUGCAUGACUGAUAU